GACGAACGCUGGCGGCGUGCUUAACACAUGCAAGUCGAACGGUGAACGAGGGAGCUUGCUCCCUCCGGAUCAGUGGCGAACGGGUGAGUAACACGUGAGCAAUCUGCCCCGAACUCUGGGAUAAGCGUUGGAAACGACGUCUAAUACCGGAUACGACGCGGGAGGGCAUCCUCUCCGCGUGGAAAGAACUUCGGUUCGGGAUGAGCUCGCGGCCUAUCAGCUUGUUGGUGAGGUAACGGCUCACCAAGGCGACGACGGGUAGCCGGCCUGAGAGGGUGGCCGGCCACACUGGGACUGAGACACGGCCCAGACUCCUACGGGAGGCAGCAGUGGGGAAUAUUGCACAAUGGGCGCAAGCCUGAUGCAGCAACGCCGCGUGAGGGACGACGGCCUUCGGGUUGUAAACCUCUUUUAGCAGGGAAGAAGCGAAAGCGACGGUACCUGCAGAAAAAGCACCGGCUAACUACGUG
RNAcentral lists this ribosomal RNA (470 nucleotides) under uncultured bacterium. RNAcentral's name for it is "partial 16S ribosomal RNA". It matches the Rfam family "Bacterial small subunit ribosomal RNA", at positions 28 to 507 of the family's 1533-position model. The record is from RNAcentral.